Non-coding RNA from Plectropomus leopardus (leopard coralgrouper), 2810 nucleotides. Lineage: Eukaryota; Metazoa; Chordata; Actinopteri; Perciformes; Serranidae. The record is from RefSeq and is a predicted model, not a curated record.
AACCUGUUCAAACCAACAGUGGAAGUAAAAGGAGUAUCAAAUGUUUCCCUAGACAUUCUGGCCUCCUCUGUCAAGCACGUGAUUGAGAAGAAAUGAAGGACUCUGAGCAGUGUAUCGCUGGCCACAACAGCAUACAUAAAUGGAACAAAAUGCACUACGGGAAUGAUCGUGUCAAUUGGAAGCUCAAGUGGACUUGAGGACUGAUUUUUGUAAGAUUGUCUAUGUAUUGCUUUUAUGCAACAAGCUAUUCUUUCUUGUUGAACCUUUCCAAGUUUGGUAUUUGGAGCACUUCAGAUGUUACGAAGUCUGCAAAAGAGACCCUGCUCAACUCAUGGUAGCUGAACCCGGAGAGCUCAAUCACUACACUCCAUUGUCAGCAUACACUGUGCGAGACGGACUUCUGGUUUCACCGAGGACACGUCUUGUACAUUAAGUUUCAUCGUGCUGCUGCGCAUAAUCUUGAGCGACGAUGACAUCAGAAAGGUUACCAUUGACACCUUGCCUGAGACUCUUGAUGACUUCUACUCAGUCAGAAAGACCAAACUUGGAUUGGAGGGGGACCUCGUGGAUCAGUAUCAACACCCUGAAUUUGAUAAUGAACAAUUUAAGCAGCUUCCUAAGGAUAAAGCAACUUUGAAAGUGUACACCAAGGCUUGUGUAUCAUACCACACAGACUCUACUCUAGACACAGCAAGCCUGUCAUCAUCUUCCCUUUAGGAGAGCCCCAGUGGUACCCAAACUCAUCAGCUGCCUCAGCCAUUUGUCAUUCACACUUUUUCUUUUGAUGUUGAGCUAAAACUGAGGCAACAAAAUGUAACCUACCAUAGUGAUGGGACCCUUCUUCCCAACUUUUGGCAGAAGCUGUGAGUGGCCGGAUGCUCUGAGCUCAGAGUCAAUGCACGUACCUCUGGGCCAACAAGUUCAAAAAGACUAAAGAGGGCCAAAAAGUCAGAAGGGAAUUUUCUGCCAGAUUUUCCAAAAGGGACAGUCCAAAGUGAUCUUGACAUGGAGAGAUCAGCCAUGGUCAGUGAGAUGAAGAAGAGAAAGAUUGACUGGAAGCUAAUUGGUGGAAUGAUGAAAUACACAUUCCCUUUACGGAGAAAUGAGAUUGUUGCUGAUGAACCGCUUGUGGCACAAGUCAAAGAAAGAUGGCAAGACUUGGUUUCUGUACAGCAGAUUGAAGCAGAAUUUGCUCGCCUUACGUCGGUUGACCUGAAAGGCUCAGGAUCUGGCGAGAUUCCUUGAGCUGUACAAAGCCAAGGCAAAGAGUGGCAUGUCGCGCCUGACCAAGCUCACAAGAUGUCUUGACAGCUCCACAUACAAGAAGAGGAUGGUUCUUCUGCCGGGCCUUCCUCAUUUUCUUAAGGAGGAUCCCUCCUGUGUUUUCAAGAUUGUGGAGGCUGCAGACAGAUUCACAGAGGGGAUGAAAGUUGGUGUUGUGAUGGUGAAAGAAGGAGAAGACAUCGUUGAUGUUUCAGUGGUCCAUGAGGAAACAGUGAUCCUGUCUGAUCUUAAGGACAUCCCAAGCGCCAUUGCCAUGCUGAUGGGGCUUCUUUAUGCCCUCAACAUAGACUACCCAAAUGAACUGAGGUACACAUUCAAGGUUAUUUAAAGGGUCCUCAUGAGCAUCGGUGGAGCACAGUGUUCUUCACUUGUGCAUGGUUUAAGAAACAGACUCUUGCGGAAAACCAUGUAAGUGUGCUCUGAUGAUUCAUCUCGUGCCAGAGUAUUAAAGUAUUAAAGGGGUUUUUGAUGUUUAAGUUCUUAUUUUGCUGUAUUUUUACUCAUUAUUUGCAAAUUCUCAUUUUUCUUUUGUACAUUUCUAAAUGAGAAGACAGAGGAACUUGUGAUGAAAAGUAAUUUGGUCGUCUUUUGCCCUCAGGUUUGCACAGUGUACUGUACAGACAUUCAAAGGUUCUCAUAAACAUUGGUAGAGGAUGGUAUGUCUCAUUUGUGCAUGGUUUAAAGAAGAGACUCCUUUUGGAAAAUCAUGUAACCCUGAACUCUGGUGGCUGAUAUCUUGUAAUCUUGUACAUCAGCUUUAAAAUGGGAGCUUUUGACUUAAGUUCACAUUUUUGCAUCUGUUCAAGCUACCAGUUGUAUAUAUUACAUUAUAUUUAAGUGUUGAAGCAUUCAGUACUCAGGACUCAGUCUCAGCGGUUUGAAGGUAGUCUUGUUAAAUUGGUUGAGAUUGAACAUGCAAAGUUAUUUUUUAUUUCAAGUUUCACAAGCUUCUUUUUGUUUAUAUCCAGAUACUAAGUGGUGCAGGCUUAUGCCAGAAAGUGAUGCUUCUGUACUUCUGUUCAUUGUUUGCUAUUUUAACAUUUUCAGUUUUAUGGUGACAGGUAAUAGAACGUGCAGCUGAAGAAAAUACUGCACAUGUAAAGCCAAUUGUUCUUCUAAAACAGCAGUACUGUCAUAUUAAUACUGAAAAUGUUUAAGUUCUGAAUUUUAUGAAGGAGCUUGGACCAAGUUUUGAUGUGUUCAAAUAUGGACUGUGGUGUUAGAUGUGAAUUAUGUCCCUGACUUGAUGACUUUGACCCCUUCUAUGCGAUAACAAGUGGUUUUCCAGUCUCUUCUCGCGGGUCUUUGCCAUUUUCUUGCUAUAAUGUUCCCAACAGCUUCGAUCUUUCUGUGGCCCUCCACUGACAACAUUUUCAGUUUUAUGGUGACAGCCAGGUGAGCGUGUGCAUUUGAAGAAAAUGCUGAACAUGUAAAGCCACUCACUGUCUUAAAUAGUAAUAUUGUCACAUUGAUACUUUCAAUGUUUAGUAAAGCCUUGACUGUUACAAAAUAUGUCCAUCAAUAAA